Long non-coding RNA from Myotis davidii, 217 nucleotides. RefSeq lists it as uncharacterized. Lineage: Eukaryota; Metazoa; Chordata; Mammalia; Chiroptera; Vespertilionidae. The record is from RefSeq and is a predicted model, not a curated record. The transcript has 2 exons.
GUGGAACCUUAAUAAUUACUUGCUUGGCUUGUUACUAAAUUCUUGGCAUUUAAAGAAUUGAAAGGAAUGAUGAAUGACGGAUAAAUGAAGUGAAGUGAUGGACUCUGACUUGCAGAGUAGUAAGAUGUGAAAGGAAUGCACUUCUGUUUAAGGACCCUGACCUUGACUCACUCACUGUUCAAGAGAAGAAAACAAGAAAAGUGACUCUCGUCUAUAA